CCUUUACCUUUAACACAUUAGUUAAAAGAAGAAAUGCUCCGGCGCUUUGGGAUGGUCUCGCGAUCUAUCAGCUUGUUGGUGAGGUAACGGCUCACCAAGGCAUCGACGGAUAGCUGGUCUGAGAGGAUGUCCAGCCACAUUGGAACUGAGACACGGUCCAAACUCCUACGGGAGGCAGCAGUAGGGAAUCUUGCACAAUGAGGGAAACCUUGAUGCAGCGACGCCGCGUGCGGGACGAAGGCCCUAGGGUUGUAAACCGCUUUCAGUAGGGACGAAAGUGACGGUACCUACAGAAGAAGCCCCGGCCAACUAUGUG
RNAcentral lists this ribosomal RNA (316 nucleotides) under uncultured bacterium. RNAcentral's name for it is "bacterial SSU rRNA". It matches the Rfam family "Bacterial small subunit ribosomal RNA", at positions 173 to 507 of the family's 1533-position model. The record is from RNAcentral.